UACGUAGGGGGCAAGCGUUAUCCGGAUUUACUGGGCGUAAAGCGCGUGUAGGCGGUUGCGUAAGUUGGUUGUGAAAUCCCUCGGCUCAACCGAGGAACUGCAGCCAAUACUGCGCGGCUUGAGUGGCAGAGAGGAAAGUGGAAUUCCCGGUGUAGUAGUGAAAUGCGUAGAUAUCAGGAGGAACACCGGUGGUGUAAACGGCUUUCUGGACCAUAACUGACGCUGAGGCACGAAAGCGUGGGUAGCAAACAGG
RNAcentral lists this ribosomal RNA (253 nucleotides) under uncultured bacterium. RNAcentral's name for it is "partial 16S ribosomal RNA". It matches the Rfam family "Bacterial small subunit ribosomal RNA", at positions 524 to 776 of the family's 1533-position model. The record is from RNAcentral.